Molecule: long non-coding RNA, 1419 nt
Organism: Onychomys torridus (southern grasshopper mouse)
Lineage: Eukaryota; Metazoa; Chordata; Mammalia; Rodentia; Cricetidae
Exons: 2
Source: RefSeq, a predicted model, not a curated record
GGACCGCCACGGCGAGCAGGGGGCGCCCUGCGCUAUCCCGGAGCCGCAGCCCCCACCCCACCCCCUUCCCCGGCCGGGAGCGCAGUCCCCACGGGCGCCGGGAGAGAGUGGCCCCUGCCCCGCGACGCCCUGCGCCUACCUCUCGGAUUUGGUGAACUUCCGGAACGCCUGGCGCAGGUCGUGGAAGGACCUGUAAGUCUGCGGCUCCGCGGAGAUGCCCUGUGCCCGGGUGGUCCGCGGGCCGAUGUGGGUGGAGGGCACCGGCAGCACCGACUGGCAUUUGUGGAGCUUCCUCUUCAGCUCCUGGAUUUCUUCCUCCUUCUCUGACAGCCGCUUCUCCAGCUCUUUGAUCCUCUCCUCCUUGAGCAUGAGAAUCUUCGCAAAGUCUUCCUCCAGUUCGCUCAUUUUUUUUUUAUGGUUAAGCCAGGUCCCCCCUCUCGAAACUUUUCCUCCCGCGGCGCGCGGGCGACGGGGACAACAGAGGAGCGCAGCGACCAGGGUCUGGGGCGCUCAGCCCGGAGCACAGCGUGCGUCCCCGCUCCUGCGAUCGCUUCUGCUGAAUGGACUAGAAGCUCCGGGGAGGACGAGGCGUCUAAAAGGAAGGAGAGGAGAGGCAGAGUGCUAAUCCCUAGCGUCUCUAGGGAAUAGGCGCACGUGUGUGCAUCACUCCUCACUGUCAAGUUCUGAGGCGGAGACCUUCACUAAUAAGAAUAACCAACCGGCAACAGCAAUGACACCAAUUCCGGGUUUUGGUAGCACAUAACUUUACUGGAAAUUGUGGACUCAAACAAUUUGGAGGGGAAGCUGGAUGAGCACAUCAUGAUAAGCCAAGUGUUUAUGGAAAAUUGAAAGGCCGCGCAUUGAUUGUGAACAGUUUAAAGUCUGGGUUUUAUUUCAUCUACUCCAGUUAAAUAUUGUAUGUUGAGCACCCAAAUAUCAUCUUCCAGGGCUCUGGAGUGGCUUCUGCAGCUGCUAAACCACUGGCUCACGCUCCCAGUUGAGUCUGGAAACUGCAACUGCAUUCAUCUUUGUUUCUCCCUUAUCUGUGCCUCCAUCAUCCGGCCAAUGCUGACGAAAUUAUUAGAGCACCUUGAUCCUGCGUGUUUAGGAGUUACUACACUUUAACGAUAUCUGCUGUACACCACAGAGAGCAUGUUUUAUAAAAGAAAAAAUAUUGUUUCCCAUUUAUUUGGUGAAUGGGGUGGGGCAUACUUUCAGGUAAUGAACAAGUUAACAAAUUUUAGUAGAUGCAACUAAAAUCCAGAGUUUCUCUUCACUAGUAAUCACUUUCCUUUAAAAAGAAAAAUAGUGUGUGAUUUUUACUUACAACAAAAUAAAUAAGUAUACUGUCUGGUCUGAAACAGUACAUAAAAGGGAAGCAAUCAUAUGCUUUGGCUUUUAAAUAAACCCUAAAAUACU